Ameiurus melas (black bullhead) is the source of this 72-nucleotide non-coding RNA. The record is from the annotation of a GenBank genome assembly. NCBI's taxonomy places the organism in Eukaryota, Metazoa, Chordata, Actinopteri, Siluriformes, Ictaluridae.
GGCAUGGUGGCUUAGUGGUUAGCACGUUCACCUCACACCUCCACGGUGGGGGUUCGAGUCCCACCGGGGCCG